CUGACCUCAAAUCAGGUAGGAUUACCCGCCGAACUUAAGCAUAUCAAUAAGCGGAGGAAAAGAAACUAACGAGGAUUCCCCUAGUAACGGCGAGUGAAGCGGGAAGAGCUCAAAUUUGUAAUCUGGCGGCCCAUGGCCGUCCGAGUUGUAGUCUGGAGAAGCGUUUUCCGCUUCGGACCGUGUACAAGUCCCUUGGAACAGGGCGUCAUGGAGGGUGAGAACCCCGUCUCUGACACGGACUGCCGAAGCUUUUGCGAUGCGCUCUCGAAGAGUCGAGUUGUUUGGGAAUGCAGCUCAAAACGGGUGGUAAAUUCCAUCUAAAGCUAAAUAUUGGCAAAAGACCGAUAGCGAACAAGUACCGUGAGGGAAAGAUGAAAAGCACUUUGGAAAGAGAGUUAAACAGUACGUGAAAUUGUCGAAAGGGAAACGCUUGAAGUCAGUCGCGUCUCUCGGGAUUCAGCCUUGCAUUUAUUUGCCUGGUGUAUUUCUCGGGGCGACGGGCCAGCGUCGAUUUCGACCGUUGGAAAAGGGCUUUGGGAAUGUGGCACCUUCGGGUGUGUUAUAGCCCUCGGUCGCAUGC
Molecule: ribosomal RNA, 580 nt
Filed under: Ramaria cf. longispora UBC F28406
Lineage: Eukaryota; Fungi; Basidiomycota; Agaricomycetes; Gomphales; Gomphaceae
Description: eukaryotic LSU rRNA
Rfam family: Eukaryotic large subunit ribosomal RNA
Source: RNAcentral